UACGUAGGUGGCAAGCGUUGUCCGGAAUUAUUGGGCGUAAAGCGCGCGCAGGCGGUCCUUUAAGUCUGAUGUGAAAGCCCACGGCUCAACCGUGGAGGGUCAUUGGAAACUGGGGGACUUGAGUACAGAAGAGGAAAGCGGAAUUCCACGUGUAGCGGUGAAAUGCGUAGAGAUGUGGAGGAACACCAGUGGCGAAGGCGGCUUUCUGGUCUGUAACUGACGCUGAGGCGCGAAAGCCAGGGGAGCGAACGGG
This 253-nucleotide ribosomal RNA is filed under the name uncultured bacterium. RNAcentral describes it as "partial 16S ribosomal RNA". It matches the Rfam family "Bacterial small subunit ribosomal RNA", at positions 524 to 776 of the family's 1533-position model. The record is from RNAcentral.